GCGGCUGGGGAUGAGGCUGAAGCUGGGGCUGGGGCUGGGGCUGGGGCUAGGGCUGGGGCUGGGGCUGGGGGCGGACCAGGCCGUCUGCCCUUCCUCUACCCCUCCCACCGGCGGCCCUAGGGUUGGCAAAGACGGCCCAAGUCGAGUCUUGCGUCCUUCGUGCGUCCCGGCGGCAGAGUGGCUUUGGUGAGCUCAUGGAGUCUUCCCACAACGAGGUUUCCUUGUCGCUGAGAGAAGCUGUGGUCAGCCUGCCCUGGGGCAGUGGAGCACGUCAUUUAAACAUGGGUCCUGCAGCCUGGGAUGCCUCCUCCACUCACAUCUGGGCCCUGCUUCUUCCCAACUGAGUGACUGUGAACAAUUUUCUGGUCCUUCCAUGCUUCAGAUCUCCCAUCUGUAACAUGGGGUUGAUGAUCAUCAUAGUCCUUGUCUCACAGGGUGGUGUGAAGGGUGAGUGGAAAUAAAUGUGCAACUUAGAGAACACCCGGUACAUGGUCAACACUGUAAAUGCUGCCCUUCCCACAGGCCCAGAGCUACCCUACCUUCCAACUUACUACAAACUGG
This is a long non-coding RNA of Urocitellus parryii (Arctic ground squirrel), 561 nucleotides long. RefSeq lists it as uncharacterized. The record is from RefSeq and is a predicted model, not a curated record. Lineage: Eukaryota; Metazoa; Chordata; Mammalia; Rodentia; Sciuridae.